GAUGAACGCUAGCUACAGGCUUAACACAUGCAAGUCGAGGGGAAACGGCAUUGAGUGCUUGCACUCUUUGGACGUCGACCGGCGCACGGGUGAGUAACGCGUAUCCAACCUUCCCAUUACUGUGGGAUAACCUGCCGAAAGGCAGACUAAUACCGCAUAGUCUUCGAUGACGGCAUCAGAUUUGAAGUAAAGAUUUAUCGGUAAUGGAUGGGGAUGCGUCUGAUUAGCUUGUUGGCGGGGUAACGGCCCACCAAGGCGACGAUCAGUAGGGGUUCUGAGAGGAAGGUCCCCCACAUUGGAACUGAGACACGGGCCAAACUCCUACGGGAGGCAGCAGUGAGGAAUAUUGGUCAAUGGACGGAAGUCUGAACCAGCCAAGUAGCGUGCAGGAUGACGGCCCUAUGGGUUGUAAACUGCUUUUGUAUGGGGAUAAAGUUAGGGACGGGUCCCUAUUUGCAGGUACCAUACGAAUAAGGACCGGCUAAUUCCGUG
This 492-nucleotide ribosomal RNA is filed under the name uncultured bacterium. Its description in RNAcentral is "partial 16S ribosomal RNA". It matches the Rfam family "Bacterial small subunit ribosomal RNA", at positions 28 to 507 of the family's 1533-position model. The record is from RNAcentral.